RNAcentral lists this ribosomal RNA (404 nucleotides) under Actinomycetes bacterium. RNAcentral describes it as "Actinobacteria bacterium partial 16S ribosomal RNA". It matches the Rfam family "Bacterial small subunit ribosomal RNA", at positions 355 to 776 of the family's 1533-position model. Lineage: Bacteria; Bacillati; Actinomycetota; Actinomycetes. The record is from RNAcentral.
UGGGGAAUAUUGGACAAUGGGCGCAAGCCUGAUCCAGCCAUGCCGCGUGAGUGAUGAAGGCCCUAGGGUUGUAAAGCUCUUUCACCGGUGAAGAUAAUGACGGUAACCGGAGAAGAAGCCCCGGCUAACUUCGUGCCAGCAGCCGCGGUAAUACGAAGGGGGCUAGCGUUGUUCGGAUUUACUGGGCGUAAAGCGCACGUAGGCGGACUAUUAAGUCAGGGGUGAAAUCCCGGGGCUCAACCCCGGAACUGCCUUUGAUACUGGUAGUCUUGAGUUCGAGAGAGGUGAGUGGAACUCCGAGUGUAGAGGUGAAAUUCGUAGAUAUUCGGAGGAACACCAGUGGCGAAGGCGGCUCACUGGCUCGAUACUGACGCUGAGGUGCGAAAGCGUGGGGAGCAAACAGG